AGAAGGCCUUCGGGUUGUAAAGUACUUUCAGCAGUGAGGAAGGUGGGGUAUGUUAAUAGCAUAUUCAUUUGACGUUAGCUGCAGAAGAAGCACCGGCUAACUCCGUGCCAGCAGCCGCGGUAAUACGGAGGGUGCGAGCGUUAAUCGGAAUUACUGGGCGUAAAGCGCAUGCAGGUGGUUUGUUAAGUCAGAUGUGAAAGCCCGGGGCUCAACCUCGGAAUUGCAUUUGAAACUAGCAAACUAGAGUACUGUAGAGGGGGUAGGAAUUUCAGGUGUAGCGGUGAAAUGCGUAGAGAUCUGAAGGAAUACCGGUCGGCGAAGGCGGCCCCCCUGGACAGAUACUGACACUCAGAUGCGAAAGCGUGGGGAGCAAACAGGAUUAGAUACCCUCGGUAGG
Molecule: ribosomal RNA, 397 nt
Filed under: uncultured bacterium
Lineage: Bacteria
Description: bacterial SSU rRNA
Rfam family: Bacterial small subunit ribosomal RNA
Source: RNAcentral